Molecule: non-coding RNA, 104 nt
Organism: Capsicum annuum
Lineage: Eukaryota; Viridiplantae; Streptophyta; Magnoliopsida; Solanales; Solanaceae
Source: Rfam
UGAUGAUGGUAAGGUCAAUUUCUAAGCAAAAUCUUAAAUCUCUCCCAAGCUUGGAAUAGAUUCUCUCCUUUUUGUUUGAAACUUAGAAUCUCACUUCUCAAACU